RNAcentral lists this non-coding RNA (148 nucleotides) under Pan paniscus (pygmy chimpanzee). Lineage: Eukaryota; Metazoa; Chordata; Mammalia; Primates; Hominidae. RNAcentral also lists the same sequence under 1 other name. The record is from Rfam by way of RNAcentral.
GCCGGGCGUGGUGGUGGACGCCUGUAAUCCCAGUUACUCGGGAGGCUGAGGCAGGAGAAUCGCUUGAACCUGGGAGGCGGAGGUUGCAGUGAGCCAAGAUCGCGCCACUGCACUCCAGCCUGGGUGACAGAGUGAGACUCUGUUUCAA